GAGAAUUACUCUCUUGUUUUGUCUAACGGUAGACUGACUUACAGAAAGUUCACCAAAAUAAAUCCUCUUUUGCAAUGUAAAACUCAUUGUUCAGUACAAGUUUUGAUACACAUAAGAAAGAAUAUU
This is a small nucleolar RNA of Cavia porcellus (domestic guinea pig), 126 nucleotides long. Ensembl annotates it as small nucleolar RNA SNORA40. Lineage: Eukaryota; Metazoa; Chordata; Mammalia; Rodentia; Caviidae. The record is from Ensembl.